Molecule: long non-coding RNA, 2063 nt
Organism: Oryza brachyantha (malo sina)
Lineage: Eukaryota; Viridiplantae; Streptophyta; Magnoliopsida; Poales; Poaceae
Exons: 7
Source: RefSeq, a predicted model, not a curated record
CCGCCGCCGCCGCCCUACCGCCCCGCUGCCGCCGCCUCUCCCUCCUCGGUCGCCCUCCCUCCGUCGCGACCGACGCUCAGGCGAGCCUCCGCUCCGGCCUCCACCACCGCGACGUCCCCGUCUCCGCUCCAGGAUCAGCCGCGACCGACGCGCCCCAUCUCCGCUCCGGGAACCGCCGAACCCGAUGCCGCCUCCGCUGCCCCGACCGACGCGUCGCCGCCUCCACUCCCGAUUCCGUCGCCCCGACCAAACGCGCCCCCGCCUCCUCUCCGGGAGCCACCGCGGGGGCUCAUCCUCCAGCGUCGUCGUUGCUGCGUCCUCACCAUCUGCUACGAGGCGCAACCCCGCCUCCACGACCCUGUCUCCGGCUGCGUCGCCCACAUCUUCGCCCUCCAACAGCAGGCGUACUACUUACUUGCCACUCUAUAAUCGACCACAAAAUCCAUGGUCUGCUGCUUCUGCUUGUGCAUGCAUGCAUGCAUAUCAAUCGAUGCGUAUGGAUCUGGAUCGUCUUGUCCUCAGCUCAUCCAGCUAGGACAUGACGAUUUUUCCGGAGUAGGCGUGUUUCUUUCUCGAGAAAGGCAAAGGUCUAUUUCCUGGAGGAAACCAACGAGCAGUGCGAAAAGGCUAACACGCCAGGCUUCAGUAAACGUACACAAUUAGCAAAAGCAAGGGACCUUUCUUUUCUUUCAGACUAGAAACCUUUUCUCUGGGUGUCUGGCUCACUGAUAGCCACACAAAGAGACCAUUGCUACUACGUCCCUCAUUGUUCUAUCCACCGACGUGCUCACUCAUCUUUUCAAUGAUAAUAAGAUCAAUGGUACUGGGAAGAGAGAAGAGAGCCAGAGGAGUAGGAUGAGGAAGUACAGGUCGCAGCUGGAGCAGGAAGUCAAGAAAUUAAAGAGGCAGCUGGAAGAAGAGAUUGAUUUGCAUGUUGGGUUGGUAGAUGCUGUUACUCAAAAUGCUGCACCUGAAGUUUUCUGUGAAGAUUCUACAUAUGACUGCAUGUAUAUAAAAUAUUUACAUAUGCCAAUAUGUAGAAAGUUUGAACAACUAGAUUGGGAGGCUUUUCUAUAUAGCGACAACAACAACAACUGGAUUGGGAGACUUUUCUAGAUCGUCGGCCUUGUAAGCAGCCUGCUAGAGCAUGGUAAAUCAAAACUUUGCCAAAAGAAGACGAAGGACAUGACAAACCUGAAUAAUCUGUUUUCUACAUGCCCAUGAAUGCUCGUCGACUACCGCUCUCUCUUUCAUCUGUCUCCGUGACCCUAAGACAUGCACUGAGGUUGUCCUCCACUGCUGGCCAACCCUGAGCUCUGCUCUUAUAUAUAUCUCUACUCGGUAUCUUUAGUACAGCGUGCCAUAUGGAAUUAUUUUGUAAAUAUUUCGAGAAAUGCCAUGGGCCCAUGGCCAUGAGCCAUGAUGUUAGUAGGCUGCAAUAUAUGCAGUAAGAAGUAUGUUGCUAUGUGAACUUAUGGUUUGCAAAUGCCCUGUAAACCCAUAUGUUAUGAAUUGUGGUAGAGUUGUUUGGAUUGGUGAAAUCAAGUUUGUAUCGAAUUAUGAAGGGACAAUUACAUAAUUGGCUAUACUUUAGAGUCUAUUUGUAGAUUUAGUUCUUUUUUUUCACUUUGCAGAUUUAGCUCUAUUUUUUAAAAAUAAAGCUUCUGUUUGGCCCGACCUACUACGUUCAGGUCACGUGAGUAGUGUAAAUAAAAAAAGAAAAAAAAUAAACACGCAAAAUGACAACAAUGCCCAUCUCCACUCUCAAACACUAUCUGCACUUUCCUCACCCCACCCCAGUUGGAACCGAGCUGAAGGGCGGCCGCCGUCCGGUGGGUUGAUGAGCGGCGGCGCUGCGGCGAGCGGGCCAGGCGUCCGCGGCAUGGCCAGGCGCACGGCGGCCGGGUGGUGAGCAGGCGUGGGGCGUCGGCCAACGUGUGUGGCGUGCGGCAGGCUGGCGCAGGCGACGGGGAGACGCGUGGCCGGGCGCAUGGCGGGUAGGCGCGCGGCGUCGGCCAGCGAAUGCGGCCUCACGGAGGGUGCAACCGCCUAGCUGCUCGUCG